GCAAACUUGGUCAUUUAGAGGAAGUAAAAGUCGUAACAAGGUCUCCGUAGGUGAACCUGCGGAGGGAUCAUUACAGAGUGUUCGUGCCCUCGUGGGCAGACCUCCCACCCACUGUCUAUCGCUACGAUCGUUUGCUUUGGCGGGCCGCCGAGCCCCGCUCGGCCACGCGCCCGCCAGAGGCACCCCGGACUCUAGAUAUUAGCGUCGUCUGAGUGUCACAUAAUUGUCAAAACUUUCAACAACGGAUCUCUUGGUUCUGGCAUCGAUGAAGAACGCAGC
Molecule: unclassified non-coding RNA, 279 nt
Filed under: uncultured fungus
Lineage: Eukaryota; Fungi
Description: partial contains small subunit ribosomal RNA, internal transcribed spacer 1, and 5.8S ribosomal RNA
Rfam family: Eukaryotic small subunit ribosomal RNA (bases 1-73)
Source: RNAcentral